ACGUACACUCCUGCGGGAGGCAGCAGUAGGGAAUCUUCCACAAUGGGUGCAAACCUGAUGGAGCAAUGCCGCGUGAGUGAAGAAGGUCUUCGGAUCGUAAAGCUCUGUUGUUAGAGAAGAACACGUGCUAGGUAACUACUAGCGCCUUGCCGGUAUCUAACCAGAAAGUCACGGCUACCUACGUGCCAGCAGCCGCGGUAAUACGUAGGUGACAAGCGUUGUCCGGAUUUAUUGGGCGUAAAGGGAGCGCAGUCGGUCUGGUUAGUCUAAUGUGAAAGCCCAUGGCUUAACCGUGGAACGGCAUUGGAAACUGACAGGCUUGAAUGUAGAAGAGGAAAAUGGAAUUCCAAGUGUAGCGGUUGAGUGCGUAGAUAUUUGGAGGAACACCAGUGGCGAAGGCGAUUUUCUGGUCUAACAUUGACGCUGAGGCUCGAAAGCGUGGGGAGCGAACAGGAUUAGAAACCCGAGUAGUCCC
Molecule: ribosomal RNA, 475 nt
Filed under: uncultured organism
Description: partial 16S ribosomal RNA
Rfam family: Bacterial small subunit ribosomal RNA
Source: RNAcentral